This is a long non-coding RNA of Lolium perenne, 1283 nucleotides long. RefSeq lists it as uncharacterized. Lineage: Eukaryota; Viridiplantae; Streptophyta; Magnoliopsida; Poales; Poaceae. The record is from RefSeq and is a predicted model, not a curated record.
UACGCCCAGAUGUACCGCCGUCCCCGUCAAUUUGCAUUCAUCUGGGCCAGGAGGACGUGGACUGCCCUUCCCAAUGCUGAUGUCGUCCGCUCCCCAGCCUACAGGAAGCGCUAUUGAAUUGCGACUCAAUCCGGGCGACUUUCCAUGCUGAUCCAUAGAGAUAGGGAGAUGAUGUGGGUUGCCGUUUUGGAACCAGAGCCUAAGCAAGAGCAUUGCAAGGCGAUAUGGGAGCUCAGAAAGUCGCCAUAAAACUACCGUUUAAGACCAGGUUUACUGCAACUCGCAUGAUGCAGCGUGGCGGUGGCGCGGAGGACCAAGCGGGAAGUGAACCAUCAGCCUUUGAGUUACCUGUCACCCUUGGCAUCGAGAAGAUGAUACCCAAGCCGUCUUACACCACAGGUAUUCAACACAAGUUGCAUGCUUCAUGAUACACACUUAAUAGUUUGUAGCCUGGAGGCUCUUGUGAGGAAGUACAACAACACCCGAGCAAGAUCUCGACCUACUUCAUGUCAACAAUGGUGAAGAUGGGAAACUUGUGGCUGUCGUCCGCGAUGCACAUACAGAUCAGGUUGAUAGGAGCUAUGAGGCUGACUCUCCGACUACUUCCGCCCGUGGAGCUGCUGGGUGCAGUUAUUUCUCGACCGCCUGAUUGACAUCUACGGCAGCUAAGACCUACAAGGCAGCUAGAAUUCUGGGAAGGCCCCAUUUCGCGCCGUGGUUUCGUUACUUUAGUAGACCUUAAAAAGGUGACAACAAAACCUAAACCGAGACUAUGCGCGUGCCAGAAGGUUUUCAGCUAGAGAGUUUGGUGAGACAUGGAAUGGGAGCAGCAGAAGUCGAUGGACGAAAGAUAAAGGAUGGCAAAGACGCUCAGAGGACAAUUGUCGAGGCACAACCGGUAUUGAAGGGGCAAGUAGCAGCAAAACUUAUCAGGUUCUGGUUACCAUGGUGGCUUGGUGUAGAUAUUGGAAGCUAGAACGUAAUUUGCAAUGUCAGACAAAGCUAGAGACCAAUGAAGCGUGUAUCAAAAGAUGAACAUGACACAAAAGAGAGCCUUGAUCGAUGUAAGUGCAAGUUUUGGGACCUUCUUAGCUAAACCCAACUCCGGGUUGUGCAUUCAAGAGCAACUUAGGUUCUUGGAGCUUCCGUACAAUACUUGUCCAUUUAUUAUUUGCUGACUUAGGAUCAUGUUAUGUAAUUUGUGAUUUCCAAGCUUCAAUAUUCAUCUUGUUUUAUUUUUACUUAUUAUUGCGCAGUUUAUAAAGUUAAAUUUGGCUUCCGAA